RNAcentral lists this ribosomal RNA (496 nucleotides) under uncultured bacterium. RNAcentral's name for it is "partial 16S ribosomal RNA". It matches the Rfam family "Bacterial small subunit ribosomal RNA", at positions 29 to 507 of the family's 1533-position model. The record is from RNAcentral.
AUGAACGCUGGCGGCGUGCCUAAUACAUGCCAGUCGAGCGAACAGACGAGGAGCUUGCUCCUCUGACGUUAGCGGCGGACGGGUGAGUAACACGUGGAUAACCUACCUAUAAGACUGGGAUAACUUCGGGAAACCGGAGCUAAUACCGGAUAAUAUAUUGAACCGCAUGGUUCAAUAGGGAAAGACGGUUUUGCUGUCACUUAUAGAUGGAUCCGCGCCGCAUUAGCUAGUUGGUAAGGUAAAGGCUUACCAAGGCAACGAUGCGUAGCCGACCUGAGAGGGUGAUCGGCCACACUGGAACUGAGACACGGUCCAGACUCCUACGGGAGGCAGCAGUAGGGAAUCUUCCGCAAUGGGCGAAAGCCUGACGGAGCAACGCCGCGUGAGUGAUGAAGGUCUUCGGAUCGUAAAACUCUGUUAUUAGGGAAGAACAAAUGUGUAAGUAACUAUGCACGUCUUGACGGUACCUAAUCAGAAAGCCACGGCUAACUACGUG